This 484-nucleotide ribosomal RNA is filed under the name uncultured bacterium. RNAcentral describes it as "partial 16S ribosomal RNA". It matches the Rfam family "Bacterial small subunit ribosomal RNA", at positions 30 to 507 of the family's 1533-position model. The record is from RNAcentral.
AUUGAACGCUGGCGGCAGGCCUAACACAUGCAAGUCGAGCGGAUGAAGGGAGCUUGCUCCUGGAUUCAGCGGCGGACGGGUGAGUAAUGCCUAGGAAUCUGCCUGGUAGUGGGGGAUAACGUCCGGAAACGGGCGCUAAUACCGCAUACGUCCUGAGGGAGAAAGUGGGGGAUCUUCGGACCUCACGCUAUCAGAUGAGCCUAGGUCGGAUUAGCUAGUUGGUGGGGUAAAGGCCUACCAAGGCGACGAUCCGUAACUGGUCUGAGAGGAUGAUCAGGCACCCUGGAACUUGGACACCGGCCCGGCUACUACGGGAGGCCGCAGUGGGGAAUAUUUGGCCAUUGGGCGAAGCCUUAUUCAAGCCGUGCGGGUGUGUUGAAGAAGUCCUCCGAGUGUAAAGCACUUUAAGUUGGGAGGAAGGGCAGUAAGUUAAUACCUUGCUGUUUUGACGUUACCAACAGAAUAAGCACCGGCUAACUUCGCG